GACGAACGCUGGCGGCGUGCUUAACACAUGCAAGUCGAACGGAAAGGCCCUGCUUUUGUGGGGUGCUCGAGUGGCGAACGGGUGAGUAACACGUGAGUAACCUGCCCUUGACUUUGGGAUAACUUCAGGAAACUGGGGCUAAUACCGGAUAGGAGCUCCUGCUGCAUGGUGGGGGUUGGAAAGUUUCGGCGGUUGGGGAUGGACUCGCGGCUUAUCAGCUUGUUGGUGGGGUAGUGGCUUACCAAGGCUUUGACGGGUAGCCGGCCUGAGAGGGUGACCGGCCACAUGGGGACUGAGAGACGGCCCAGACUCCUACGGGAGGCAGCAGUGGGGAAUAUUGCACAAUGGGCGGAAGCCUGAUGCAGCAACGCCGCGUGCGGGAUGACGGCCUUCGGGUUGGAAACCGCUUUCGCCUGUGACGAAGCGUGAGUGACGGUAAUGGGGAAAGAAGCACCGGCUAACUACGU
RNAcentral lists this ribosomal RNA (467 nucleotides) under uncultured bacterium. Its description in RNAcentral is "partial 16S ribosomal RNA". It matches the Rfam family "Bacterial small subunit ribosomal RNA", at positions 28 to 506 of the family's 1533-position model. The record is from RNAcentral.